RNAcentral lists this ribosomal RNA (461 nucleotides) under uncultured Campylobacterales bacterium. Its description in RNAcentral is "bacterial SSU rRNA". It matches the Rfam family "Bacterial small subunit ribosomal RNA", at positions 29 to 505 of the family's 1533-position model. Lineage: Bacteria; Pseudomonadati; Campylobacterota; Epsilonproteobacteria; Campylobacterales. The record is from RNAcentral.
AGUGAACGCUGGCGGCAUGCCUUAUACAUGCAAGUCGAACGAGAACGGCCUAGCUUGCUAGGUGUCAGCUAAGUGGCGCACGGGUGAGUAAUAUAUAGUUAACAUGCCUUUUAGUAGGGGAUAACGCUUAGAAAUGAGUGCUAAUACCCUAUACUCCUUUUUGUUUGAUGCAGAUUGGGAAAGAUUUAUCGCUAAGAGAUUGGACUAUAUCCCAUCAGCUUGUUGGUAGUGUAAGAGACUACCAAGGCUAUGACGGGUAGCUGGUUUGAGAGGAUGAUCAGCCACACUGGAACUGAGACACGGUCCAGACUCCUACGGGAGGCAGCAGUAGGGAAUAUUGCGCAAUGGGGGAAACCCUGACGCAGCAAUGCCGCGUGAAGGAUGAAGGUUCUAGGAUUGUAAACUUCUUUUAUAUGCCAAGAUAAUGACGGUAGCAUAUGAAUAAGCACCGGCUAACUCCG